Macadamia integrifolia is the source of this 556-nucleotide long non-coding RNA. RefSeq lists it as uncharacterized. NCBI's taxonomy places the organism in Eukaryota, Viridiplantae, Streptophyta, Magnoliopsida, Proteales, Proteaceae. The record is from RefSeq and is a predicted model, not a curated record. The transcript is spliced from 3 exons.
UAAGGAGAUUCUUCUGCGUGUUUAUUAUUUGCAUUAAGAAGCUAGUGGACAACUGGAUCAGGCUGCAGGAGUCAUGUGCAUGUUGUGACUAGCUUGGGGUUUCCCCAGUUGGACAUUCUCUGGUGAUGUCGAAGACAGACUUAUUCCUGAGGUCAGCAGUGUGACCUUGAUUCUAGGAAAGUAUAAUUAUGUCGAUCACAAACCAUUCUAUAGUAUCGAUGAUACGUGCAGGAUUGCAAUCGAUGACAACCGAAUUGUCGCUGGAUUUUCAACCAGAGCAAAGUUGGUAGUUAUUAUGCACCAAGAGAUGGGCGCUUGUGGGAUGCAGAGAUUGCUAGAUUGAAGGACGGGCUCACCCUUCAAGCACACGAUCACAGGUUAUUCCAGGGGAGACUAGGAUGAGAGUAGAGAGGGUGAUGGCUGCGAGGAUCCGUAACUGUAUUUUCAGAAUUUUAAAACCAGGAUGUAAAUAUUCUUUUUUGAUUAUUAACCCCCAUGUGUGUGAAUGUGAAGGAUCUAUACUUUUUUUUAGCUAAAAGGUCAUGUAUAUUAAGAA